Molecule: long non-coding RNA, 876 nt
Organism: Coturnix japonica (Japanese quail)
Lineage: Eukaryota; Metazoa; Chordata; Aves; Galliformes; Phasianidae
Source: Ensembl
CUUUGCUCCAUGUGGGGAUUAGCAGUGUGGUCACAUACCAGCCUCACAUCCAUAGAACCAUCUCUAAGGUCAUAAGGCACAGCCACCAACCUGUACCCACUGACCAUAUCCCACAGUGCCACAUCCCCACAGUUCUUAAACACCUCCAGGGUUAGUGACCCCACCACCUCCCUGGGCAGCUGUGCCAAUGUCUGACAGACCCCAGCCCAUUUUGGAAUGCCAGAACAAACACCCCUUAAACAAUGUAAGUAAUCACUUUUAGAUAGACCAUUGUGUGUGGCAUUCAUCUGGGAGAUGCUAUCUGUGAAUGGCGUUUGUGUGUUAGUGUAGUUAAAAAGCACGUGAGAUUACAUCUUUGGCUAGUGUUUUUAUUUGCUACAGUAUGGUAAUUGAAUUACUUUAAUCUGUGGUUGAAUUUUUUAAUGUAGCUAACCCUGAGGGAAAUGGUGUAAGGCUUCUUUUACUAAAAUUAGCCCCGGUAAACUUAAAUUCACCCUUUCCACCAGCUCUCAGCAGAACACUCAUCAUAAAAAGGGGUGUGAGUCCAAUAGCAACACAGAGAGGUUUGAUAAGUUCCAUUCCAGUUCUAUGUUUUCCCCAGAACCCCUCUCUAGCUGAUGUGUGGCAGUGAGAUGCUGUGGGACAUGGCAGAAGACUGGGGCAGCUUCCUGCUCCGGAUGGUGACUUCAAAGCCGGUGUCAGCACUCGCUCCAGCAGCCAGGGCAGUGACAGCCUGCACACGGGUUGGGGGGCACCGGGGCCAUCCAUCCUGCAGACCUCCAACCAGAGCUACAAUAGCACCCCAUCUUUUGUAUCUGAAAACAAACACAAGGUUGAUUCUAGAUUUGUGAUGUGCAAAGGCUCUUCAGCAGUGUG